This 1117-nucleotide long non-coding RNA is filed under the name Nicotiana benthamiana. RNAcentral describes it as "long non-coding RNA (NBEN_LNC033426)". Lineage: Eukaryota; Viridiplantae; Streptophyta; Magnoliopsida; Solanales; Solanaceae. The record is from RNAcentral.
GUGGUUCUAUAGCAGGCACUCCAAUUCACCACCAGCAGUAGCACCUCCACUUUUCGUCACUUGUAUUUGUGAGCACCUUUCCCCUUCGGGCCCUGCGUGGCACAUGACGCUGUUCUUCAUGCAGUCUUAUUUGGCGUGGCAUAUGCCGUUGUUGGGUGAGAUCACGCUGUUCACUCUCUUCUUCACAUCUCAAUCGUGUCCAAACUCGCCAAUUCCAGGCGUGUGAGAUCAAUUUCACCUCACUCGCACCUUAUCUCUCCACAUCAGCAAGAUUCUAACGGCUUCUGACCGAUUUUCGUCUCUCAUGUGCUUUUUUCAGAAUGAAUUCCGAAAAAAGGAACCGUGGAUUGAUUUUGAAUCGAUCCCCUCUCUCCAUCUGUCCGAAUUCAUUUUAGAGGGGAAUAUUUUCGGAUCUUCGAGGAAGCUUCUAGGUUUGGGGUAUAAAAGGGGUGCGCUGAAUUGAUUUGAGAGGGUUUUUUUGAGAGAUUUUUCUAUUUUGGCAGAAAGGAGAAUGUUAAAAAGAAAGUGAUUAUUCUUCUUCUUGGUUUCUAAUCAGGUUUGAGUUUUUUUUGUUGGAGAAUCACAGAAAGAUACAUAUUCAAAAAUGUUCUUAAAGUUGUUUUCAUUUUCGAUUAUUGUUCAGAAAAAGGGAAAAAAAUCAAAAGAUAUUUCGUAUCUUCUUUCUGGGCUGGAAUUCAUUUGAAAAUGGGGCUCGACUGAAAGCUGUUGAGUUCGUUAUUGCCCGAGAUUUGGAUUCCUACUCGUCUCCAUUACUGAUUGUGCUGAUAUUAGCUAUUGUCCUCCAUUUGUAUUCAACAUUCGAGCAAAGUUAAUCACAAUUUUUUACUGAUUCAGGUUCAUUACCCAUCUCUUGUAUCCUAUCUUUGUGGUUUUGGUUAGAAAUGUAUUGAGAGCUUGACUCCAGUUAUUUUGGAACUGUUUUAACUCUUGAUGCCUGUUGGUCGUGAUGUAUUUUCCUGCCACUUUUACGAGUAUUUUAGGUUUGUUAGUUUGGCGAGUUGUUUGCGAUUUGAGUGCAAGGGUCGAUAAGUGACUGAUCUGAGUACAUUAUCUGGUUUAUUUGACCUUGUUUCAAUAUUUUUGAGGUUAUGUUUGA